GUUGAUCCUGCCAGUAGUCAUGUGCUUGUCUUAAAGACUAAGCCAUGCAUGUCUAAGUAUAAAUAUUAUACAGUGAAACUGCGAAUGGCUCAUUAAAACAGUUAUAGUUUAUUCGAUAAUUUCUCCUACAUGGAUAACCGUAGUAAUUCUAGAGCUAAUACAUGCUGUCAAACCUGACUUCGCGGAAGGGUUGUAUUUAUUAGAUAUAAACCAAUACCUUCGGGUGUUGUGAUGAUUCAUAAUAACUGAGCGAAUCGCGGUUGUACCGCGAUAGAUCGUUCAAGUUUCUGCCCUAUCAGCUUUCGAUGGUAGUGUAUUGGACUACCAUGGCAGUCACGGGUAACGGGGAAUUAGGGUUCGAUUCCGGAGAGGGAGCCUGAGAAAUGGCUACCACUUCUAAGGAAGGCAGCAGGCGCGUAAAUUACCCAAUCCUGAUUCAGGGAGGUAGUGACAAGAAAUAACAACUCGGGUCCCUCACGGGACUGCGAGAUUGCAAUGAGAACAAUUUAAACCACUUAUCAAGGAGCAAUUGGAGGGCAAGUCUG
This 545-nucleotide ribosomal RNA is filed under the name uncultured eukaryote. RNAcentral's name for it is "SSU rRNA". It matches the Rfam family "Eukaryotic small subunit ribosomal RNA", at positions 7 to 563 of the family's 1831-position model. The record is from RNAcentral.